CAGUAGCCGCGGUAAUACGAGGGGGGCAAGCGUUGUUCGGAAUUAUUGGGCGUAAAGGGCGCGUAGGCGGUUUGACAAGUCUUGUGUGAAAUCUCUGGGCUCAACCCAGAGUCUGCACGGGAAACUGUCGGGCUAGAGGAUGGGAGAGGUGAGUGGAAUUUCCGGUGUAGCGGUGAAAUGCGUAGAUAUCGGAAGGAACACCUGUGGCGAAAGCGGCUCACUGGACCAUUACUGACGCUGAGGCGCGAAAGCUAGGGGAGCAAACAGGAUUAGAUACCCCCGUAGUCCCUGUCUCUUAUAC
Molecule: ribosomal RNA, 301 nt
Filed under: uncultured bacterium
Lineage: Bacteria
Description: partial 16S ribosomal RNA
Rfam family: Bacterial small subunit ribosomal RNA
Source: RNAcentral